UCCUGGUUAACCCAGGCAGUCUCACUAGAGUUCCCAGCCGAACUGUUGGCAACUAGUGACAAGGGUUGCGCUCGUUGCGGGACUUAACCCAACACCUCACGGCACGAGCUGACGACAGCCAUGCAGCACCUGUGUUACGGCCCCGAAGGGAAGCUCUGUUUCCAGAGUUGUCCAUAACAUGUCAAGCCCAGGUAAGGUUCUUCGCGUUGCAUCGAAUUAAACCACAUGCUCCACUGCUUGUGCGGGUCCCCGUCAAUUCUUUUGAGUUUCACCCUUGCGAGCGUACUCCCCAGGCGGUAUACUUAUCGCGUUAGCUUCGGCACAGUCGGGGUUGAGUCCAACUACACCUAGUAUACAUCGUUUACGGCUAGGACUAC
RNAcentral lists this unclassified non-coding RNA (377 nucleotides) under uncultured Chlamydiales bacterium. RNAcentral describes it as "contains 16S-23S intergenic spacer region". Lineage: Bacteria; Pseudomonadati; Chlamydiota; Chlamydiia; Chlamydiales. The record is from RNAcentral.